AUCAACUUUCGAUGGUAGGAUAGAGGCCUACCAUGGUGGUAACGGGUAACGGGGUGUUAGGGCACGACACCGGAGAGGGAGCCUGAGAAACGGCUACCACAUCCAAGGAUGGCAGCAGGCGCGCAAAUUACCCAAUCCCGACACGGGGAGGUAGUGACAAUAAAUAACAAUACGGGGUUCUUUAGGAUCUCGUAAUUGGAAUGAGUACAAUUUAAAUCUCUUAACGAGGAACAAUUGGAGGGCAAGUCUGGUGCCAGCAGCCGCGGUAAUUCCAGCUCCAAUUGCGUAUAUUAAAGUUGUUGCAGUUAAAAAGCUCGUAGUUGAAUUUCGGGAUUGGCGCAUCGGUCGUGCCUCACGGGGUAUGAACUGGUGCAGUCAAUUUCUCACCUUCUGGAGAACCGCGAUGUCCUUAAUUGGAUGCCGCGGGGAACCAGGACCUUUACUUUGAAAAAAUUAGAGUGCUUAAAGCAGGCAUUUUUGCUUGAAUACAUUAGCAUGGAAUAAUAAAAUAGGACGGCAUGGUUCUAUUUUGUUGGUUUCUAGGACCACCGUAAUGAUUAAUAGGGAUAGUUGGGGGCAUUAGUAUUCAAUUGUUAGAGGUGAAAUUCUUGGAUUUAUUGAAGACUAACUACUGCGGAAGCAUUUGCCAAGGAUGUUUCAUUAAUCAAGAACGAAAUGUUAGGGGAUCGAAGACGAUCAGAUACCGUCGUAGUCUUAACCAUAAACUAUGCCGACAGGAAUCAGACGAUGUUAAUUUUUAAUGACUCGUUUG
RNAcentral lists this ribosomal RNA (772 nucleotides) under Entrophospora sp. RNAcentral's name for it is "SSU rRNA". It matches the Rfam family "Eukaryotic small subunit ribosomal RNA", at positions 314 to 1083 of the family's 1831-position model. The record is from RNAcentral. Lineage: Eukaryota; Fungi; Glomeromycota; Glomeromycetes; Entrophosporales; Entrophosporaceae.